This 459-nucleotide ribosomal RNA is filed under the name uncultured bacterium. RNAcentral's name for it is "partial 16S ribosomal RNA". It matches the Rfam family "Bacterial small subunit ribosomal RNA", at positions 338 to 795 of the family's 1533-position model. The record is from RNAcentral.
CCUACGGGAGGCUGCAGUGAGGAAUAUUGGUCAAUGGCCGGAAGGCUGAACCAGCCAUGCCGCGUGAAGGUCAGUGCCCUAUGGGUUGUAAACUGCUUUUAUACGGGAAUAACGCGCCUUACGUGUAGGGCUUUGCAUGUACCGUAUGAAUAAGGACCGGCUAAUUCCGUGCCAGCAGCCGCGGUAAUACGGAAGGUCCGGGCGUUAUCCGGAUUUAUUGGGUUUAAAGGGAGCGUAGGCCGCAUGUCAAGGGUGCUGUGAAAUGUCCGGGCUCAACCCGGGCCUUGCAGCGCGAACUGGCGUGCUUGAGUCCGCGGAAGGCAGGCGGAAUUCGUCGUGUAGCGGUGAAAUGCUUAGAUAUGACGAAGAACCCCGAUUGCGAAGGCAGCUUGCUGCAGCGGAACUGACGCUGAUGCUCGAAAGCGCGGGUAUCGAACAGGAUUAGAUACCCGAGUAGUC